Molecule: ribosomal RNA, 465 nt
Filed under: uncultured bacterium
Lineage: Bacteria
Description: partial 16S ribosomal RNA
Rfam family: Bacterial small subunit ribosomal RNA
Source: RNAcentral
GACGAACGCUGGCGGCGUGCUUAACACAUGCAAGUCGAACGGAAAGGCCCUGCUUGCCGGGUACUCGAGUGGCGAACGGGUGAGUAACACGUGGGUGAUCUGCCCUGCACUUCGGGAUAAGCCUGGGAAACUGGGUCUAAUACCGGAUAGGAGCCAUUUUUAGUGUGAUGGUUGGAAAGUUUUUUCGGUGUAGGAUGAGCUCGCGGCCUAUCAGCUUGUUGGUGGGGUAAUGGCCUACCAAGGCGGCGACGGGUAGCCGGCCUGUGAGGGUGGACGGCCACAGUGGGACUGAGAUACGGCCCAGACUCCUACGGGAGGCAGCAGGGGGGAAGAUUGCACAAUGGGUGCAAGCCUGAUGCAGCGACGCCGCGGGGGGGAUGACGGCCUUCGGGUUGUAAACUCCUUUCGCUAGGGACGAAGCUUUUUGUGACGGUACCUAGAGAAGAAGCACCGGCUAACUACGUG